CCUACGGGAGGCAGCAGUGGGGAGUAUUGCGCAAUGGGCGAAAGCCUGACGCAGCGACGCCGCGUGGGGGAUGAAGGCCUUCGGGUUGUAAACCCCUUUCAGCAGGGACGAAGCGAAAGUGACGGUACCUGCAGAAGAAGCGCCGGCUAACUACGUGCCAGCAGCCGCGGUAACACGUAGGGCGCAAGCGUUGUCCGGAAUUAUUGGGCGUAAAGAGCUCGUAGGCGGUCUGUUGCGUCUGCUGUGAAAACUCGGGGCUUAACCCCGAGCCUGCAGUGGAUACGGGCAGACUAGAGGUAGGUAGGGGAGAAUGGAAUUCCCGGUGUAGCGGUGAAAUGCGCAGAUAUCGGGAGGAACACCGGUGGCGAAGGCGGUUCUCUGGGCCUUACCUGACGCUGAGGAGCGAAAGCGUGGGGAGCGAACAGGAUUAGAUACCCUGGUAGUCCACGCCGUAAACGUUGGGCGCUAGGUGUGGGAUCCUUCCACGGAUUCCGUGCCGCAGCUAACGCAUUAAGCGCCCCGCCUGGGGAGUACGGCCGCAAGGCUAAAACUCAAAGGAAUUGACGG
Molecule: ribosomal RNA, 567 nt
Filed under: uncultured bacterium
Lineage: Bacteria
Description: bacterial SSU rRNA
Rfam family: Bacterial small subunit ribosomal RNA
Source: RNAcentral